This 467-nucleotide small RNA is filed under the name Pan troglodytes (chimpanzee). RNAcentral describes it as "retained intron". The record is from RNAcentral. Lineage: Eukaryota; Metazoa; Chordata; Mammalia; Primates; Hominidae.
CUGGGCACAGGGCUCCAGCGACGGUCCCAACAGGUACAAUUACCUCUGGGGACCAAGUUCAGUUCUUGGUGAGUUCUCCAGUGCCUCUCAAUGUAGGAUGAACCCUUGGCAUGCUCCACUGAUGCUGGCUCCUUCUGUUGUUUCUCUUGGCUCCAGGACCCCCGGAGCAAACACAAGUUUAAGAUCCACACGUACUCCAGCCCCACGUUUUGUGACCACUGUGGGUCACUGCUGUAUGGACUCAUCCACCAGGGGAUGAAAUGUGACACCUGCAUGAUGAAUGUGCACAAGCGCUGCGUGAUGAAUGUUCCCAGCCUGUGUGGCACGGACCACACGGAGCGCCGCGGCCGCAUCUACAUCCAGGCCCACAUCGACAGGGACGUCCUCAUUGUCCUCGUAAGAGAUGCUAAAAACCUUGUACCUAUGGACCCCAAUGGCCUGUCAGAUCCCUACGUAAAACUGAAACU